Benincasa hispida (wax gourd) is the source of this 2435-nucleotide non-coding RNA. The record is from RefSeq and is a predicted model, not a curated record. NCBI's taxonomy places the organism in Eukaryota, Viridiplantae, Streptophyta, Magnoliopsida, Cucurbitales, Cucurbitaceae.
UAAAAUAGUAACUAUAAGAUAUUAGUUAAAAUUUAUUCAGUCUAAUUAAUAUAUUAAACUAUAUUUUUAUUGCUCAUCUCCCAAACAUAAGACUUUUGCAAAAUAUUAAAAAAAACCAUCCCAGAUGAAUUUUGAAGUUCCCUAGAGUUUAAAAUUUGAAAUUAUGUAAAAUAAAUAAAGACAUUAAAUGUUUGUCUAAAAUUCUAUGGAAAAACUGUGAAACAAAUAGGUCUUGGGAAAAUGGAGUGCUAAAUUGAAAAAUAACCAAAAUUGAAAAAGUCUGGUUUAUCGAUUUUGCGCCUGUAAUUAAACUGUAUUUACCAUUUUUAUGCACUUAUCUACAUAUUUCCACCCAGUUUAUUUUCUUCCACAAGACCUUUAUUUCGCUUUCUAAGAGAAAUUUUUGUGGGCAUUUAUAAGCAAAAACUGCUACCUUAUUUCCAUGGCAAAGUCUUCCAGAAUAUGAUAUCUAUUGGCAAAGCUAAAACCAAGUAUGUUUGAAUGGUUUGGUUUCUAAAGAAUCUAAAUUUUUUAAAUGGAUAUCAAAGAGGCGAAUCAGGUUGAAGUUAAGUUGUCCAUCAGUAUCAGAAUCAUAUUCCUAAGCUUUGUUCUCACGUAUCUCUAUAAGCUUUACUAAAGAAAGGAUUUAUAUAUAUAUAUAUAUAUAUAUAGGUCAUUGGCAGACACUAAUCUACUUCCAAGCUUCAAAGAUGCCCCAUAUCAGAAGCAAAACAAGACCAUCAACCACCAAGUUCUUUCCACCUUCCUCUCCCUCUCUCAAAAUUUUCACUUUGUCUCUCUAUCUAACUGUUCUAAACUAUAGGGUACCCUGACCGAGGAUGUCGGGACAGGGAAGAAAUGGUUCAGGGCGCUACAAAGAAAUGAGUAGAUAGAAGUUUUAUUGAAGGAUGCCUUUUUGCCGUGUGUUGCUGUUGGCUUUGUGAGGCAUGUUGCUGAUUCUCCUGGAUGAUUGUCCCAUUCAUUCAAUAUCAAUAACACAGAUCUAGUGUAUUGUAUAAAUCAACUUUAUCUAUGAGAUAGAGAGUAGAGACUUUUGCUUGUACUUGCCUAUGUUUUUCUUGAGCAUAUACAAGUUUUAGAUUUGAUUCUAACCAAAUCCUUAUUCCUUUGUACCAAAAAGGUCCAUCUUCCUAACACAUGGUAGAUAAGGAAAAUAUAUUUAACUCAAACUCCAAAAGAUUAAUUAACAUAGAUUGUAAUUGUAAAGUUUUUGGUCACUGUUAUAUUUGAACUCACCUUCCUUGGCUUGUGAAAUCUGCUUAUUCUUCUUCCAAUGCACUGGGUAAUCAGUCUGGCUCCUAAAUUAUACAGGGUCUUCACUUCAACUCUGAUUGUAAAUUAUAUCUUUUGGUCCUCCCUCCUUCAGUCCAAGAAAAAUCACUCCUAAAAUAAUCCAAAACUAAAAUAAUAUCAUCUAACAAAGAAAAUGAUGAAUAAUUUAUAUAAACAGAGUGAAGGAAAAUAGACAUCCAAGGAAUUUUCAAGUUAGUCAGAUACUUACAGCCAUUAAGCCAUAUUCUCAAAGACCUGUUACAUCGAUGCUGUUACCAGAGUCAAAACAGAGAUUGAGUAAUUUGAAAGGCCAUUGUGAUUUUGUGAUAAAUAGUGUAUUGAAAUUCAAUCGUACUACAAAAUUAUUCAUAGACCACAUUUCUUGAAUUUUCUUCCUCCUUGCCAUGUAGAAAAACACAGCCAAUUGAAAGCAGGAAACUCAAAUGCCUCAAUAUCAAUGUGAAUUAUCUUAAUGAGUUACAUGUGAUGCAAAGUACGUACCUUUUCCAAGAGUACUUUCCAGAGUUCUUUUAAGUUCUAUAAAAAUUUUGAAAAAUGCUCAUAAUAAGCUAAAAGGAAAAAAUUUUACCCACAACACAGGAUCGAUUCUAAAAGUUGUACUACCUUUUGAAAAAUCAUAUCAAAUGCACCCUAAAUAAAACUGAAGAGUGAAUAGACGCAAGGUCCAUCCAUAAUAUCUACUUGAAUUAUAUGACACAAACAAGAUCAUUUCAAUGAGGGGUAAAAUUACAAGCCAAGUUUAAUAAGAAACACAACCCUAAAGACCAGACCUAUACGGUACUACAAUAAUCUUCAUAUCUAAAAUCUCUAACAGUCAAAGCAAGUGCAAUGAUCCAAUAUCAUAAGAUGUUGAAUAAGCUAUUAACUACAACCAUACUGGAGAACACAAGAGCCCACUUUCAAGACAAUUAAACAUUUAAACCAGUUGGUAAGGGUUAAGUAAACAAGCAUCAGACAUCGGUAGCUUAUCAUAAAUAACAUUCCCUUUAGUUUACAAGCAACACUAGAAGUUACCAAUACAAGCUACACAACACAGCACAAUCAGAAUGUACAAAUAUUUUAUGUUUAGUCAUGGCUCCUGUUAAUUCCUCAUAAGCCUUGGAGUUGCCUAAGAUCAAAUA